This 425-nucleotide ribosomal RNA is filed under the name uncultured bacterium. Its description in RNAcentral is "partial 16S ribosomal RNA". It matches the Rfam family "Bacterial small subunit ribosomal RNA", at positions 354 to 796 of the family's 1533-position model. The record is from RNAcentral.
GUGGGGAAUCUUGCGCAAUGGGCGAAAGCCUGACGCAGCCAUGCCGCGUGGAUGAUGAAGGUCUUAGGAUUGUAAAAUCCUUUCACCGGUGAAGAUAAUGACUGUAGCCGGAGAAGAAGCCCCGGCUAACUUCGUGCCAGCAGCCGCGGUAAUACGAAGGGGGCUAGCGUUGCUCGGAUUUACUGGGCGUAAAGGGCGCGUAGGCGGACAUUUAAGUCAGGGGUGAAAUCCCGGGGCUCAACCUCGGAACUGCCUUUGAUACUGGGUGUCUUGAGUAUGAGAGAGGUGUGUGGAACUCCGAGUGUAGAGGUGAAAUUCGUAGAUAUUCGGAAGAACACCAGUGGCGAAGGCGACACACUGGUUCAUUACUGACGCUGAGGCGCGAAAGCGUGGGGAGCAAACAGGAUUAGAUACCCCUGUAGUCC